RNAcentral lists this ribosomal RNA (325 nucleotides) under uncultured eukaryote. Its description in RNAcentral is "partial 18S ribosomal RNA". It matches the Rfam family "Eukaryotic small subunit ribosomal RNA", at positions 1470 to 1796 of the family's 1831-position model. The record is from RNAcentral.
CCCUUAGAUGUUCUGGGCCGCACGCGCGCUACACUGAUGCAUUCAACGAGUUUUACCUUGGCCGAGAGGCCUGGGCAAUCUUUUAAACCUGCAUCGUGAUAGGGAUAGAUUAUUGCAAUUAUUAAUCUUGAACGAGGAAUUCCUAGUAAACGCAAAUCAUCAAUUUGCAUUGAUUACGUCCCUGCCCUUUGUACACACCGCCCGUCGCACCUACCGAUUGAAUGGUCCGGUGAGGCCUCGGGAUUGUGGCCAGCUUCCUUCAUUGGGAGUUGGCUGCGAGAACUUGUCCAAACCUUAUCAUUUAGAGGAAGGUGAAGUCGUAACA